UCUCGAUUGGUCUAGUGGUCAGGAUACCUGCUUGUCAUUGAACAAGUACGCAGGUGGCCGGGGUUCGAUUCCCCGAUCGAGAG
Molecule: transfer RNA, 83 nt
Filed under: Annulohypoxylon moriforme
Lineage: Eukaryota; Fungi; Ascomycota; Sordariomycetes; Xylariales; Hypoxylaceae
Also listed under: 5 other names
Description: tRNA-Asp
Rfam family: tRNA
About the family: Transfer RNA (tRNA) molecules are approximately 80 nucleotides in length. Their secondary structure includes four short double-helical elements and three loops (D, anti-codon, and T loops). Further hydrogen bonds mediate the characteristic L-shaped molecular structure. tRNAs have two regions of fundamental functional importance: the anti-codon, which is responsible for specific mRNA codon recognition, and the 3' end, to which the tRNAs corresponding amino acid is attached (by aminoacyl-tRNA synthetases). tRNAs cope with the degeneracy of the genetic code in two manners: having more than one tRNA (with a specific anti-codon) for a particular amino acid; and 'wobble' base-pairing, i.e. permitting non-standard base-pairing at the 3rd anti-codon position.
Source: RNAcentral